RNAcentral lists this long non-coding RNA (1303 nucleotides) under Brassica napus (rape). RNAcentral's name for it is "long non-coding RNA (BNAP_LNC008736)". Lineage: Eukaryota; Viridiplantae; Streptophyta; Magnoliopsida; Brassicales; Brassicaceae. The record is from RNAcentral.
AAGGAGAGGGGAAACCCCCUAACUCACUUAGUCUUUUACAAAUCGACAUCCUUAAACCUUUAUACUAGCUUUACAACUUAGAAACCCUAGCUAAGAGAUAAGGAAAGAAGGGUGGAGAUCUUCUGGUUUGAAUUGGAUGCUUCAGAUCACUCUUGGUGCUUUACUAGCUGUUUGUAUGCGCCUGAUUGGAUGAGGGAAAGUAUGGUGAGGAGAGCUUGUGUAUCUGCCCUUUUAACUGUCCAGAUACACAACCUUGCUUGCUCUUCCUUUCCAGCUGUAGCCAGCCUGUCGUGGACCAUUCUAACCAAUCCCAUACUUCCCAUACUUGGCGCCAACUCUUGUUUGAAUCUUCUUGCCACCAAAGCAUCUUCUUGAUUCUAUUUGAUGCUUCUCACCAUCCCGGACUUUGCACACUCAUAUUAGAGCUUCUCCUUGGCUGUACGGACUUGCCAUAACCGUACACCAAUGCCCUAUAUUUGCACAGCCCUCAAAUAGCUUCAAAUGGUCGAGUCCAUCAGUCUUGAGUUGAUCAUGUCCGUACAGGCCGUACCAUCCGUACGGCCGUCCGUACCGGCCUCGCCCUUAAGCUCCCAAACUCCUCCAAAGAUCUCCCAACUCUGAUUACUACUCUUCUUGAUCACUAUCUUAUCUUUGUACUAGCUUCACAUCUCUUCUGAAGCUUCAUAGAACUCUUCUUAACAUUUUCUAGAGCUUGCCCUAUUAUUGUACAAGCUCCAUCUUCUCUUCAGUUCAACACUCCCCCUCAAGCUUUGACUUUAGGAGAUCCUAAGCCAAGCUUGGAACUCUGAAGAGUCUCCCUCAUUAAAAACCUUACAAGGAAAACCCAUUGGGACAAAACCUUGCAAGGGAAAAAGAGUAGAGCUCUUCAAAGCCUAGGGAUUAGCCAGUGAGCUCUUGUGCCUUAGAACCAGUGUGGUUGGACACAAGAAGCUCUGGAUCACGGCCUAACAGGUGCAGCAACUCUUCACAGCUUUGCGCACACUUCACACUUCAUACUUCAGCUUCACCUCUUCAUGGAACCGGUUUGAAGUCUCCCCCUCUCAACUGACUUCACAGCCAUCUUAGAGAAGCUAGGACACGACAAGAUCAUCUUCAAAACACUAGUGAGGCUGAUCAACACUUCACACACGGCUUGCCCUCUUCAUAGAACUGGUUUGGAUCUCCCCCUCUCAACAGACUUCUCAGCCAUCUUAGAGAAGCAAGGAACUGACCAGGAACAUCUUUAGUGAGGCUCAAGCAAUGGUACCUGAUACAUUAUCCCAAAGGUGCAUCAGUACCUAUC